GACGAACGCUGGCGGCGUGCUUAACACAUGCAAGUCGAACGGAAAGGCCCUGCUUUUGUGGGGUGCUCGAGUGGCGAACGGGUGAGUAACACGUGAGUAACCUGCCCUUGACUUUGGGAUAACUUCAGGAAACUGGGGCUAAUACCGGAUAGGAGCUCCUGCUGCAGGGGGGGGGUGGAAAGUUUCGGCGGUUGGGGAUGGACUCGCGGCUUAUCAGCUUGUUGGUGGGGUAGUGGCUUACCAAGGCUUUGACGGGUAGCCGGCCUGAGAGGGUGACCGGCCACAUUGGGACUGAGAUACGGCCCAGACUCCUACGGGAGGCAGCAGUGGGGAAUAUUGCACAAUGGGCGGAAGCCUGAUGCAGCAACGCCGCGUGCGGGAUGACGGCCUUCGGGUUGUAAACCGCUUUCGCCUGUGACGAAGCGUGAGUGACGGUAAUGGGUAAAGAAGCACCGGCUAACUACGUG
This 467-nucleotide ribosomal RNA is filed under the name uncultured bacterium. RNAcentral describes it as "partial 16S ribosomal RNA". It matches the Rfam family "Bacterial small subunit ribosomal RNA", at positions 28 to 507 of the family's 1533-position model. The record is from RNAcentral.